CCGACUUUAGCUCAGUUGGAAGAGCAUCAGACUGUAAAGGAAAAUUCCCACGGCAUCUGGGUGUCGCCUGUUCGAACCAGGCAAGUCGGA
Non-coding RNA from Coprinopsis sp. MPI-PUGE-AT-0042, 90 nucleotides. Lineage: Eukaryota; Fungi; Basidiomycota; Agaricomycetes; Agaricales; Psathyrellaceae. The record is from the annotation of a GenBank genome assembly.